RNAcentral lists this long non-coding RNA (255 nucleotides) under Malus domestica (apple). RNAcentral describes it as "long non-coding RNA (MDOM_LNC020138)". The record is from RNAcentral. Lineage: Eukaryota; Viridiplantae; Streptophyta; Magnoliopsida; Rosales; Rosaceae.
GGUUCUAGUUGUAUUUACAUGAAGUAGUGACUUUUGUGUUUUUACAAAGUGACCCCAAAAGUUUAUGUUUUCGCAAUAUGGCCCAAAAAGUUGUGGUUAUUGCAUGAUGGCCCAAAUAGGAUGAGAACAAAAUUGUUUUGUCUCUUUAAAUGAGAAUUGGAUUUUCAUUUUGUUUAGCUCCACUUAAAUCAAUUUUAUGGAUACAAAAACCAAAUGAAAAAUGUUGCAUUCAAUUAAUUAGUUAAAGUGUUAAUU